AUUGAACGCUGGCGGCAUGCCUUACACAUGCAAGUCGAACGGCAGCACGGGAGCAAUCCUGGUGGCGAGUGGCGAACGGGUGAGCAAUAUAUCGGAACGUGCCCGGUCGUGGGGAUAACGUAGCGAAAGCUACGCUAAUACCGCAUACGAUCUACGGAUGAAAGCGGGGGAUCGCAAGACCUCGCGCGAUUGGAGCGGCCGAUAUCAGAUUAGGUAGUUGGUGAGGUAAAGGCUCACCAAGCCGACGAUCUGUAGCUGGUCUGAGAGGACGACCAGCCACACUGGGACUGAGACACGGCCCAGACUCCUACGGGAGGCAGCAGUGGGGAAUUUUGGACAAUGGGCGCAAGCCUGAUCCAGCAAUGCCGCGUGCAGGAUGAAGGCCUCGGUUGUAACGUAGU
RNAcentral lists this ribosomal RNA (401 nucleotides) under uncultured bacterium. RNAcentral describes it as "bacterial SSU rRNA". It matches the Rfam family "Bacterial small subunit ribosomal RNA", at positions 30 to 436 of the family's 1533-position model. The record is from RNAcentral.